UUUAAACGACGAUCUGCCGUGCCACAGUAGCAUAGCUUGUGAGAAGAUUCAUUUGUGGCAAGUUUCCAGCGAUAAUGACGAAGUUAAUUCUUGUGGUGUUUUUGACUGUCCUCUCCAUAGCGGUCAUUGCGGCUGAAGACUGUCCCCAACUGUAGCCAGAGCCAGUGCACCUUCAUGGGAUAUCAAAACUGUGACGUGGGCUACUGCGCCAACCAGGAGGGGCCUACAAUUCAAAUGCGUGCAAAAGUGCCCGGCUGGAAAGUACUGUCAAAGUUACUACCGUUUUUGUGUCUAAGUCAAACAGCAGGGGUGAUGGAAGUGAAGAAAGAAAAAGGAACAUCUUCCUGGGCUUCUGGCAUUGGUUACUCUUUGUAAUAAGUAUUCAAUUAUUGAAUAAAAUAAUUACAUAAA
This 411-nucleotide long non-coding RNA is filed under the name Haliotis rubra (blacklip abalone). Its description in RNAcentral is "uncharacterized LOC124278945". Lineage: Eukaryota; Metazoa; Mollusca; Gastropoda; Lepetellida; Haliotidae. The record is from RNAcentral.